CACGGUGAAAUGCAAACAUUGCAACUGUCCCCCUCCCUCUCUCUCUCUCUCUCUCUCUCUCUCUCUCUCUCUCUCUCUCUCUCUCUCUCGCUCUCUCUCUCCCUCUCUCUCCCUCCCUCUCUUUCUCUCUCUCUCCCCGUCUCUGAUGUUUUCUUUGCAGUGGUGUGAUGAAGAUCCAGAGGGUGUGAAAGUGUGUGUGUGUACGCUCAGUGUGUCUCCUUCUGAGGUACGGCAGUCUCUGUGUGUGUGUGUGUGUGUGUGUGUGUGUGUGUGUGUGUGUGUGUGUGUGUCCUCUCCUGAGGUACUGCAGUGUGUGUGUGUGUGUGUCCUCUCCUGAGGUACCGCAGUGUGUGUGUGUUUGUGUGUGUGUGUGGUAGUGCAGUGUGUGUGUGUGUGUGUCUCCUCUCCUGAGGUACUGCAGUGUGUGUGUGUGUGUGUGUGUGUGUGUGUGUGUCCUCUCCUGAGGUAAUGCAGUCUGUGUUCUCCUGCUCUGGCCCACUUUGGCUCAUCAGGACCCAGAGUGGCCUAGUUUGGCCAGAGCUUCACAUCAGACACACACACACACACAAACACACAAACACACACACACAGGCAGAACACUGACCAAGCCAAACAGACUUUCACACACAGGCAGAAGACUGUCUCUUUGCUACACAUGCACACACUCACACAUAUAGCCUACACACACACACACACACACACACACACACACACGUAGCCUACACACAUACACACACACACACACACAUAGCCUACACACACACACACACACACACAC
Molecule: long non-coding RNA, 778 nt
Organism: Clupea harengus (Atlantic herring)
Lineage: Eukaryota; Metazoa; Chordata; Actinopteri; Clupeiformes; Clupeidae
Source: Ensembl